AGAGUUUGAUCCUGGCUCAGAGUGAACGCUGGCGGCGUGCCUAACACAUGCAAGUCGAACGAUGAAGCCCUGCUUGCAGGGUGGAUUAGUGGCGCACGGGUGAGUAAUGAAUAGAUAAUCUGCCCAUAAGAUGGGGACAACAGUUGGAAACGACUGCUAAUACCCAAUACACCUUUUAGACAUAAGUCUAAUCGGGAAAUGUUUUUUCGCUUAUGGAUGAGUCUAUUUCCCAUCAGCUAGUUGGUAAGGUAAGAGCUUACCAAGGCGAUGACGGGUAGCUGGUCUUAGAGGACGAUCAGCCACACUGGAACUGAGACACGGUCCAGACUCCUACGGGAGGCAGCAGUGGGGAAUAUUGCACAAUGGGGGGAACCCUGAUGCAGCAACGCCGCGUGGAGGAUGACGCAUUUCGGUGUGUAAACUCCUUUUAUUAAGGAAGAAAUUUGACGGUACUUGAUGAAUAAGCACCGGCUAACUCCGUGCCAGCAGCCGCGGUAAUACGGAGGGUGCAAGCGUUACUCGGAAUUACUGGGCGUAAAGGAUGCGCAGGCGGUUUUGAAAGUCAGAUGUGAAAGCCUAUGGCUUAACCAUAGAACUGCAUUUGAAACUUCAAGACUAGAGUGAGGGAGAGGUCAGUGGAAUUAGUGGUGUAGGGGUAAAAUCCGUAGAGAUCACUAGGAAUACUCAUUGCGAAGGCGACUGACUGGAACUUUACUGACGCUGAGGCAUGAAAGCGUGGGGAGCAAACAGGAUUAGAUACCCUGGUAGUCCACGCCCUAAACGAUGUACACUAGUUGUUGCGAUGCAAGUCAUCGCAGUGAUGCAGCUAACGCAUUAAGUGUACCGCCUGGGGAGUACGGUCGCAAGAUUAAAACUCAAAGGAAUAGACGGGGACCCGCACAAGCGGUGGAGCAUGUGGUUUAAUUCGAAGAUACGCGAAGAACCUUACCUGGACUUGACAUCCUAUUAAUGAUUUAGAGAUAGAUUAGUGCUAGUUUACUAGAAAAUAGUGACAGGUGCUGCACGGCUGUCGUCAGCUCGUGUCGUGAGAUGUUGGGUUAAGUCCCGCAACGAGCGCAACCCUCGUUCUUAGUUGCUAACAGUUAGGCUGAGCACUCUAAGAAGACUGCCUUCGUAAGGAGGAGGAAGGUGAGGACGACGUCAAGUCAUCAUGGCCCUUAUGUCCAGGGCUGCACACGUGCUACAAUGGUUAGGACAAUGAGAUGCGAUACCGCGAGGUGGAGCAAAUCUAUAAACCUAAUCUCAGUUCGGAUAGCACUCUGCAACUCGAGUGCUUGAAGCUGGAAUCGCUAGUAAUCGUAGAUCAGCAAUGCUACGGUGAAUACGUUCCCGGGUCUUGUACUCACCGCCCGUCACACCAUGGGAGUUGAUUUCACCCGAAGCCGGAACGCCAAAUUGGCUACCGUCCACGGGGGGCUCAGCGACUGGGGUGAAGUCGUAACAAGGUAACC
RNAcentral lists this ribosomal RNA (1472 nucleotides) under uncultured bacterium. RNAcentral describes it as "16S ribosomal RNA". It matches the Rfam family "Bacterial small subunit ribosomal RNA". The record is from RNAcentral.